This 253-nucleotide ribosomal RNA is filed under the name uncultured bacterium. Its description in RNAcentral is "partial 16S ribosomal RNA". It matches the Rfam family "Bacterial small subunit ribosomal RNA", at positions 524 to 776 of the family's 1533-position model. The record is from RNAcentral.
UACGUAGGGGGCAAGCGUUGUCCGGAAUCAUUGGGCGUAAAGCGCGUGUAGGCGGCUCGAUAAGUCUGCUGUGAAAGUUCAGGGCUCAACCCUGAAAUGCCGGUGGAAACUGUCGAGCUAGAGUCCGGAAGAGGCGAGUGGAAUUCCUGGUGUAGCGGUGAAAUGCGCAGAUAUCAGGAGGAACACCAAUGGCGAAGGCAGCUCGCUGGGACGGUACUGACGCUGAGGAGCGAAAGCGUGGGGAGCGAACAGG